Molecule: ribosomal RNA, 792 nt
Filed under: uncultured soil archaeon
Lineage: Archaea
Description: bacterial SSU rRNA
Rfam family: Archaeal small subunit ribosomal RNA
Source: RNAcentral
CGUAACGUACGGCUCAGUAACACGUAGUCAACCUGCCCUGGAGACGCGGACAAACCCGGGAAACUGGGGCCUAUCCGCGAUAGAUGACCUCAUCUGGAAGGAGAAGUCGUCGAAAAGGGUGCACGGGUAUGCUCCGUGCAUCCGCUUCAGGAUGGGACUGCGGCCGAUCAGGCUGUUGGCGGGGUAAUGGCCCACCAAACCUGUAACCGGUACGGGCUUUGAGAGAAGGAGCCCGGAGAUGGACACUGAGACAAGGGUCCAGGCCCUACGGGGCGCAUCAGGCGCGAAAACUUCGCAAUGCGCGAAAGCGUGACGAGGCUAGUCCGAGUGCUUCCUGCUAAAGGGAGCUUUUCUCGGCUGUAAAUAGGCCGGGGAAUAAGGGGAGGGCAAGUCUGGUGUCAGCCGCCGCGGUAAUACCAGCUCCUCGAGUGGUCGGGACGAUUAUUGGGCCUAAAGCACCCGUAGCUGGUUCUGUAAGUCCUCUGUUAAAUCCAGUCGCUCAACGUCUGGUCUGCAGAUGAUACUGCAGUACUAGGAGGCGGGAGAGGCGGACGUUACUCCGCGUGUAGGGGUAAAAUCCUUUGAUCCGCGGAAGACCACCAGUGGCGAAGGCGGUCUGCCAGAACGCGCUCUACAUUGAGGGGUGUAAGCUGGGGGAGCGAACCGGAUUAGAUACCCGGGUAGUCCCAACCGUAAACGAUGCGAGCUAGAUGAUUCGAUCGCAGUUCGCGAUCGAAGCGUCGCAGGGAAACUGUUAAGCUGGCCGCCUGGGGAUACGUGCGCAAGCUGGAC